GAGGUGCGCCCCGCCGGAGUCCGGCCCUGUGCGCGCCAACCGCCCCCCGCCCACGGCGCGGAGCACCUCUGGGCUCCCCACUUGAACGGCGGGCCGCGCCGGCCCAUGAGGAAAGCGGGUGCGGAGCUCGCCCCCUGCCGGAGGAUGCGCUCCGCCGGCGGGCACCCUGCGGCGACCACAGCCGGACGCCAGAAGUGACCUGACCGUGAAUGUGCGCUUUGCGUGCAGUCAUUGCAUCGUCGCAGGCCUGGGAGACAGAUGAAGAGAUGGGUGCUUAUUUUAUAUAGGGGACACAGUGUGCCCAAGAGCACAAGAUAAACGGCCGGGUGGGGAUUCAAACCCAUGUUCCCUGACUCAAGUCUCUUAAGGAAAUUCUCGGUUAUAUUGAAAAAUCCAGAAGCUCUGAAGAUACCAGUCAAAUAAAAUCACACCCUAUAACUCUACACCAGACUUGUGGCAUGGUUUCUGUAGCUGCCAGCGGUAAAACCAAGAAAAACUUUACAAAAACCUUUUGUGCAUCUGAAAAGGAGGAAGUGUGAGAGACAUUGGAAAUUCAAUAUGUCAGACAAAGCCGUCUCCUGACACUGCAGGACAGUGGACCAGUCAAACAAUCUUUUUAAAGCCCCCAUGUAAGAAGUUGCUAUAUGAGGUGGCAGCUUGGGUCAGACAUUAUGUAUGGCCUUUGGUAUUUUAGUAGCACUGCAUGUAAAAUUUAACUUUCUAAAAUCGCUGUAUUCGUGGAUAGCUUUUAUCAUUGCACUAGACAACAAGUUACAAUUUAAAAAUUG
Molecule: long non-coding RNA, 788 nt
Organism: Gorilla gorilla gorilla (western lowland gorilla)
Lineage: Eukaryota; Metazoa; Chordata; Mammalia; Primates; Hominidae
Exons: 2
Source: RefSeq, a predicted model, not a curated record